This 378-nucleotide ribosomal RNA is filed under the name uncultured bacterium. RNAcentral describes it as "bacterial SSU rRNA". It matches the Rfam family "Bacterial small subunit ribosomal RNA", at positions 29 to 407 of the family's 1533-position model. The record is from RNAcentral.
ACGAACGCUGGCGGCGUGCUUAACACAUGCAAGUCGAGCGGUAAGGCCCUUCGGGGGUACACGAGCGGCGAACGGGUGAGUAACACGUGGGUGACCUGCCCUCAGCUCUGGGAUAAGCCUGGGGAAACCGGGUCUAAUACUGGAUAUGACUCCAUGACGCAUGUUGUGGGGUGGAAAGCCUUGUGCGGCUGAGGAUGGGCCCCGCGGCCUAUCAGCUUGUUGGNGGGGUGAUGGCCUACCAAGGCGACGACGGGUAGCCGGCCUGAGAGGGCGACCGGCCACACUGGGACUGAGACACGGCCCAGACUCCUACGGGAGGCAGCAGUGGGGAAUCUUGCGCAAUGGGCGAAAGCCUGACGCAGCGACGCCGCGUGAGGG